CAAGACACCAUACAUGAGCCUUCAUUUCAUCCAUCCAUCCCAAUACAAUAUUUAACAUCGUCAUCAAUUUCUCUAUUUCCUCAUAUAAUUGACUCAAGAUAGUUGCAAUUUUCUCUUUAUUGGAGAUGACUUGAAUAUUAAUAUUUAUUUUCACAUCUGCCUCAUAAGUUUAUUUCAUAUACAAAUUCUAGGGCGGAUCAAAUUUGAAAGAAAAUCGAGCGUAUAAAUUUUGAUUUAUACGUAUUAUAUGCACAUUCUAUACAACUAUAAUACAUGUUCAAUUUUUUAUCACUAUUGUUACACCAGCACAAUUCCGGAGAAAAAUCAAGUCUUACCGGAGAUUCUACCGGAGAAGAGAACGAUACACGGCGUUAUUCCUAUUUCGUGCAGCUUUAAAGGUGAGAUUUUGAACUGAUCAGGUACAAGUUUUACAAAAUCAAUACCAGUUUUUGUUAUUUAUCACUCUGUAACCUAGAUUUUGAUAUCAAAUUCAUUGAAAUUGCUAGAUAUGAAGGAUUCUAUCAACAACCCUAAAAGGGCAAUCUUUUGGGUUUUGAACCUUAAAAGGUAAUUCUAAGUAGCCCAUGCUAUUUACAUAAUACUAUUAUUGUUAUGUAAAAUGUAUUAAGAGCAUUGAUUGUAUUUUAUUAGUUGUUAUUGAAGAAUUGAGGGAAAUUGGGGCUUUUACUAUUACCGCGCGUUUGCGACAUUUUCCUAUCUCAGCUCUAUCAAUAACCAUUUAUAUAGCCUCCUGGAAAGUGAUGAAUUGUUUUCUAUCAGGGGUUUGAAACCAUUGGCAACAGAAUUCACAAUACUGUUGUUCAAACAUUAUGCUUUGAGGGUCCAUUACUUUGAUUUGGGCAGUGGGAUAAUGACAUUGAUCUCAAUUAGCACCCGAGCAUAAGAAAUCCUUUUAAGCUUAGUUGUACAAUCAGCAUCACAUAUAGGUGUUCGUAGCACACUAGCAAUCCUACUUAGGGACUUGGGACCCCAACAAUUAAAUAGAAGAUUGAGGAACGCCACCAUAGAGGGAUAACUUUCAAUACCUCAUCCUUAGAAUUGAAACUGGCCACCCAAGGUUUAACAACAGGCUUAGUAUUGAUCAUAUGAGGGCCAAAACUAAGUAUUACAUCUCUAUUCGCUAUUGAUUGGAAUUCACAACAUAAUAACCCUCAUUGUGAUAAUUGAGUUUAGCUUUCUGAGUGAAUUUACCCUUGCUCUCAAGGAAGCUAGCUACAAUUGCUAUAGUUGGGGAAUCCCAAAUAACAUAUAGUAUCAUAGCACUUCUCCAAAUUAUAGAUUCACUAGCUACCUACUCUUUGUCCUGUUGUCCUAUUUUGACUCUAUCCUUAAGCACAGUGGUAUGAAUUGAAUCUAUGUUGCUCGGACUUUUCAAAAACGUCAAUGAGUGCGUGUCGGAUUCUCCAAAAGUAGUGUAUUUUUGAAGAAUCCGACAUAGAUGCGGCAUCGAAAGUGAAGAGUCCGUGCAACUUAGAAUUGAAUACAAUUUUAGCAUAAAAAAUAUGCAACAUGCAAAAUUCAUAUAUAUGCUAAUACUAAAAAAAUCAUAAUAAUGGUGCACCAUAUACCAAAUUAGAUAUUAUCAUUGUGAAAUAUAUGCAGUUUAUGGCUUCGGUCUUAUCCUAACCAAUUUUUUAGUCAAACUUUUCUUAUUAAGAAAAUAAUUUAACAUUUGUUCAGUCUAAAAUCCACAAGAGAUGGUCAUGGAGUAAUAACAAAUGUCUUUAGCUUACUUAUUUCAGUCAUCAAGAAAUUUUUAAAAACUGAAUAUUUCAAUUUAUAGAUGUACAAAAUUAAAGAUUGAAACAGACAACAUUUUAAUAUAGGCUAAGAAUUUUGAGAUAUUUUGACAACAUUUAAAUAUGCAUAAGACAACCGAUUUAAUGGUUAAAAUUUUUAAAAUAUAAAUAUUUAUUGCAUAUGAAAUUGUGAAUUUUUUGAGAGAAGGGUAACUUCAUAUGAAAUUUUGAUUUUUGUAUGAUUGUAGUUGUUGCAGCGAUUGUAGAAACACAUUAUUAGUUUCUCCAAUUUCGGAAUAAAUGAUAUAUGGUAGAAGAUUGAGGAACGUCACCAUAGAGGGAUAACUUUCAAUACCUUAUCCUUAACAUUGAAACUGGCCACCCAAGGUUUAACAACAUACUUAGUAUUGAUCAUGUGAGGGCGAAAACUAAGUAUUACAUCUCUAUCCGCUAUUGAUUGGAAUUCACAACAUAAUAACCCUCAUUGUGAUAAUUGACUUUAGCUUUCUGAGUGAAUUUACCUUGUUCUCAAGGAAUCUAGCUACAAUUGCUAUAGUUGGGGAAUCCCAAAUAACAUAUAGUAUCAUAGCACUUCUCCAAAUUAUAGAUUCACUAGCUACCUACUCUUUGUCCUGUUGUCCUAUUUUGACUCUAUCCUUAAGCACAGUGGUAUGAAUUGAAUCUAUGUUGCUCGGACUCUUCAAAAACGUCAAUGAGUGCAUGUCGGAUUCUCCAAAAGUAGUGUUUUUUUGAAGAAUCUGACAUAGAUGCGGCAUCGAAAGUGAAGAGUCCGUGCAACUUAGAAUUGAAUACAAUUUUAGCAUAAAAAAUAUGCAACAUGCAAAAUCCAUAUAUAUACUAAUACUGAAAAAAUCAUUUUAUGCAAUAUUUGCUAAUAAGAUUUCGUCAAAUAUUUUAAAAUUAUUUCAAGGGUAUCAUCCAUUAUAAAUAUGUGAGAAAUAUAACAAUGACUCAAACAAGAAUAAGUUGGAACGCUAUUAAAUAUAUUUGUACAUUGUAUGCAGAAGUAAAAUGGUUGUUGCAAUUUUUUGAACAAUUACAUUUAAAGUGCUUAAACAAACAAGAAAAUAGUUUGUUAUGAUUAUUUUUUUAAUCAUGGACCGCACAUCUUACGGGCUCUAAUACUAACAGUGUUGAUAAAAGAAGACGAUACAUUCAAUUAGGUUUAAAUUAUGACCUUUUCGCCAUUAAGCUUUUUAACUCACCAAAAAAUAGUGUAACAUAAAUUUAUUUGUAAGAUUAGAAGAAGACGACAAAAAAUCCAACUAGGUUUAAAUUGGACUUUUUUACCUGUUAAACUCGAUUCACAAAGGCUAUAAUAUGGCAGAGACUUCAUUAUAGUUAUCGUGUGAAUAAGGGAAGACGAAAGAUUCAACUACAGGUUUACAUUAUGACCUUUUUUUGCCGCAAAAUAGUGUAACAUAAAUUUACUUGUAAGAUUAGUAGAAGAAGACAAAAAAUAUAACUAGGUUUAAAUUGGACUUUUAACCUGUUAAACUCGAUUCACAAAGGCUAUAAUAUGGCAGAGACUUCGUUAUAGUUAUCGUGUGAAUAAGGGAAGACGAAAGAUUCAACUAUAGGUUUACAUUAUGACCUUUUUUUGCCGCUAAAUUUAACUCGCAUAAAUAUAAGUAUAAGAUAAUUAAAUUAUAUAUGUGACCGUUCUUCUUUCAUUUUUUGCUAAUACUAAUUUAAAUUAUAUAUGUGGCCGUUCUUCUUUCAUUUUUUGCUAAUACUAAUAGACUUUUGAAUACCCUUAGUAAUGGGAAGAAGAGAAGAUAAUGGACAUGAAAAUUGUGUGAAUGAAUUAACUUAACCUAAAAGCCCAAACCUUUCUUUUCUUGAUAGAGAAACGUGGUUGACAGGCACUAAGAAUUGAUUCAGAGAAAGACAAUUCAUUAAUUAGGUUUAAAUUGUGACCUUUAAAUAGUUAUACUUAACGUGACAAAACUACUCCCUCUGUCCCAAUUUAUGUGAUGUUGUUUGACUUGACACGGAGUUUAAGAAAGAGAGACUUUUGAAACUUAAGGUCAAAAACAGGUCAUGUGUUCCUUUCUGGUUUAUACAGAUAGACAUUAGCUAGAAAAGACCGGAUAAACUUAAAUAUGGAUCUCAAGAUGAUUGAAAUUUAACUUAGUUACCAUAAUGGGUGGAAAUAUCAUCAGAGUACAAAUGUAUAUUUUCAUUUAAUAAAAAAAAUUUGUAACUAAUUUCUCUUUUUCUUGAGUACCUUUCAUAAAAUGAAUAAAAUUUCUCAUUUUCUUUCCCAUUAUGUGUAAGUGCAUUGAUUUGACAGUGUUUUGUGUCAUUAUUUCAUAUAAAUUUUCCUCAAAAUCACAUUAGAAAAUUUUCAAUGCGAGUCUGAUGAGAGGUUGGCAGGUAUCAUAGUAACAAAAACUAAUUCUACGCAAUAUUUUAAUAUAUUUCAAACCAACAUAAAAUUUCUACAAAAUAUCAUUUAUUCCAAAAUUGGAGAAACUAAUAAUGUGCUUCUACAAUCGCUGCAACAACUACAAUCAUACAAAAAUCACCAUUUCUUAUGAAGUUACCUUCUCUCAAAAUCAAUCUUUAAUUUUGUACAUCCAUAAAUUGAAAUAUACAAUUUUUAUAACUUUCUUGAUGACUGAAAUGAGUAAGCUAAGACAUUUGUUAUUACUCUAUGACCAUCUCUUGUGGAUUCUAGAUUGAACAAAUAUUAAAUUGUUUUCUUAAUAAGAAAAGUUUGACUAAAAAAUUGGUUAGGAUAAGACCGAAGACAUAAACUUCAUAUAUUUCAAAAUGAUAAUAUCUAAUUUGGUAUAUGAUGCACCAUUAUUUAGUUUUAUGCCAUAAGCUAAGACAUUUGUUAUUACUCUAUGACCAUCUCUUGUGGAUUCUAGAUUGAACAAAUAUUAAAUUGUUUUCUUAAUAAGAAAAGUUUGACUAAAAAAUUGGUUAGGAUAAGACCGAAGCCAUAAACUGCAUAUAUUUCAAAAUGAUAAUAUCUAAUUUGGUAUAUGAUGCACCAUUAAUUAGUUUUAUGCCAUAAUAGUUAUGGGUGGCACCUAAAUAUCUUCUAAUUCAAACUAUUCAAAGAUUUACACAAUCUAAAUUCCCCCUAUAAAUAGAAGUCAAUUAGACAAAGAAACUCACAACAACAAAGCCAUUUGAUCUCGAAUAUCCAAACAAACACAUAUCUCCUCCUAUUCCUCAUCUUUUGCCAUGCCCAGAACAAAAGUGAAGUUUGCUUUGAUCGAAAAUAAGACUAAGAGGAAAGCCUCUUACAAGCUAAGAUUGAAAGGGUUAUUUAAAAUGGCUUAUGAACUCACCGCACUUUGUGGUGUUGAAAUGGCUAUAGUCGUCUAUAGUCCUUACCAAAACCAACCUGAUUUGUUUCCAAAUUAUGCUAAUGCAUUCAAUACCUUUAAAAGGUUUAGUGAGCUUUCGGUGUUAGAUCAAUCAAAACACAUGAUGACGGGAGAAGAGUUCACGAAGCGAAGGAUUGUGAAGUUGGAGAAACAAUUACAUAAGGUAAGGAAAGAAAACAGGGUCAAUGAGUGCACAAAUAAGAUGUAUCAAGUGUUGAAGGGAAUUGAUACUCCCGAUGACAUGCACCCUUACGAUCUCAACGAUUUGAGCUUUGUGAUAAAACAAAACCUCAAACAGCUACGUGAAGUGAUGAAAGCGAAGACUGACGGAGAGGGUUCCACAUUGAAUACCCAUCAACCUAUGGUACCUCAUGGGACCAGCUCUGAGGAGCCAAGGGCACCUUUGUUGGAAAUAAUUGGGGCUCCAGUAUCAAUAGUUCAUUCGGUGGCUCCAUCGUCGGUUCCUAGUGCGACCAACUUUGAAGGGCUAAGUACUGAUCUAUUGGUCUCUGUUGUGGAUCCAAUAUCGAUGGUUCCUCAUGCGGAUCCAUCGAUGGUUCCUUCAGUCGCUCUUGCUCAAAUGCCCAAACCAUUGUGUAAUCUAAUGGAUCCUUUGAGGACUCCUCAAACGGUUUCUCGUGUAGACCCUUCGAGGUUUUCUCCUCCCCCUUUCUCUCCAUUUUCUUUAGAAAAUUUCCCUCAAAUGGUUGUACAACCGUAUCCUCCAUUACCUCAAGAAAUGGCUUUUAGAAGGGCUCCUGGAAUGGCCCCUCCAAUGCCUCCAACAACAAUGGCUUCUCCCAUUCCUUCACCAAUAAUUACUCCUCCAAUGGCUUGCUCGGAACCAUCAAUGGCUUCUUCACCCGCUUAUGUUCAAAUGCCCAAACCAAUGUGUCAUCUGGUGGUUCCUUUAAGGACUCCUCAACCGGUUCCUCUUGUAGACCCUUCGAGGUUUCCUCCUCUUCCUCUCUCUCCGUUUUCUUUAAAAAUGUUUCCCCCAAUGUUUCUACAAUUGUAUCCUCCAUAACCUUAAGGAAUGGUUUUUAGAAGGGCUCAUGGAACGCCCCCUCCAAUGCAUCCAACAAGAAUGGCUUCUCCAAUACUUUCACCAAUAAUGGCUCCUCUAAUGUCUUGCUUUAGUGUUUCCUCUAAUAACACCCUAGAUGGACUCUUCAAUGAGUAUCCCCCAAUGAGUGCAUCAAUCCCAAUGAAUAACUAUCAGAACUACUCCGUUGGCUUUCCACAUAGUCCAACAUUGUCUGAGAUGCUGGCCGGAAAUGAUGAUGAUGAUGAUGAUAUAAUGACUUUAAUUAAUGAUCCAUCUUUCAACAAUAUUAACAUUCAAGAUCCAAACCACCACAACAAUUUAUAAGGAUCUAGGACUAAUGUCUCUUUUAAUUAGCAUUGUUUUGUAGGUUCGUGUUGUCGUGUGGACUAUUCGUGUCCUUUGUUGUUUUCCAUGUCUAAAUUGUGUUAUAGGACUCGUCAUAUCUCUUUCCAUGUGUCCUCAUUUGAAGUGUCCAUUUGUUGUGUUUCUUUUUCUUUUUCAAAGUUUGUGGUUUUAUUCACUUAUUUAAUCUGUAUUCAGUUUUUUUUAAUGUUUACUAUAUACUUAUAUGUUUAUUUGUGCCUUUAUUACUACUAUUGAAAAUGUUAUUGUUAGUAUGGUUUUAAAAAAUGACCUCUUACACUUCAAAAAUCUAUCAAAUCAGUGUACGUAUGUGGUAAAUCUUCAUGCUCAAACUUUCCUGUGUAAACUAAUAUAACAACAAAAACAUACCCAACAUAGUUCCACUAAGUGGGAAAGGAGUAAACUUAUAACACAUCUAAAGUUGAGAAUGAAUUAAAAAGUAAAGAAGAUUAUCGUAAAGAACUAUUUAAAUAUCCAUGUAAUGGAAAAAUAAGGUCUAAAAUAGUUUCUAUUUUAAAAAAUCAAGAUAUAAUUAAUUAUUUGUUUCUUCUUGUAAAGAAAUGGAUCUUGGGCCUAAUCCAAAUCCAAAAGCUAGCUCGUAAGAGGAGGAUUAUUCAACAAAUCCAGAAGCUAGCUCUUAAGAGGAGUAUUAUUCAAGUCUAUAUUAGGAAACCACCAUUUUUUUUUCAUCCGAUUUGGGACUCCUCAACACCCACCUCAUGCCCCAGACCAGAUAUCUGGCACUUGAGCAAUUUAAUCUAGGGACCCAUCAUAGGUAAACAACAAUUAGGAUGGGUCCUGCUCUAAUACCAUGUAAAGAAAUGGAUCUUGGGUCUAACUUAACCUCAGAAGCUAGCUCUUGAGGGAAGAUUGCCCAAGUUUAUAAAAGGAGACCACCCAUCCGUUUUUCAUCCGAUUUGGGACUCUUCAACACCCGUCUCACGCCCAGGACUAGACAUCCGAUUAUCUGUAGUAUCUAUGAUUAGUUUCAUUCAAUAUAUUUAUCGGGCUGGUACUAACACUAGUUUUACAAAAACAAUAAUAAUUACUACGUUCCAGUCUCAAAUAAGUGGGGAGUCGUCUAUAUGAAUCUUCACUUCUUCAUUUAAGCUCAUUUGUAUCCUCAUCAUAUAAAAUAAACUAAAAUAAAAUAGAAGUAAAAAAUAAGUUGGAUAGCAAUAGCAAUUCUCUAACAAGUUUUUUGUAGCCGAUUUUUUGCCUUUAAGAACACCCUACUCACUUCCUCAUCCUCUGGAUUUUCUUGUAUCAACAUUUCACAAUCUUGGAUAGCUGCUUUCCAUCUUCCCAACUGCAUAUAUCAACUAAAACUUUAUGAUAUAUACCUUGUUAAAUAAGUAUGAUCACAUCAUCUAAAAUGUUAAGCGGUUAGAGAGGGCACACUUUUAUUUACUUAACUAAUUAUGUCUUUAACAAAUGUGGUCGAAUUACCUUGAUAUUGCAGUCAGCUCUCCGCAAUCUAGCCUUUGUAUAGGAAGGACGCAGUACAAGAGCUGCAGUGCAAUCUUCCAAAGCUUUUUCGAAUUGUCCUAGCUUGAAUCGACAUGCUGCUCUGUUAAACAGUAGAAUAGAAUUGUAUGGCUCUUGUCCUAGUCCUUCAGUGUACUCAAAAGAAGCCUCUGAGAAUUUAUUUUCUCUGAACAACUCGUUACCUUUUAACCGAGAUGAUGCCAACCCUUCAAUUCUCCUUAGAAUUGUGAUAAUUACUUCAUUGCUUUGAUCCAAUUUUGUUGCUUCUUGAGCUGCAGCUGUAGCCUCCUCAAACCAGCCAACUGUUGCAUAGGCCUCAGCUCGAGUGAUCAACAAAUAAACUGUUUUUACUGAACCAAAAAGGCAAGCACAUAGCUCGGUUUUUAUAUGAGGUACUUUCUGAAUUGUAGUGUAUGCUUCCUCAUGUCUAUGCAACUUUAUUAGUGCUUCAGCCCUCAUGGCAAAGAUCUUCAUUUGAAAUCAAGUAAAAGGAAAAAAGUAAGAAUCUUUAAACAUCUAAUUUCUUUAUUAGACUUUGUACAUUAGGGAUGGACUUUACGCCUCAUUUUUCCCCCAUUAAGAUUAAGACGUGUGAAUCUAUAUGCACAUCUAAAUGAUUAAGAUGUUGUCUUUAGAUUUGAACAUGGAAGGAUUAACAUCGUUUGUUUUUCAACAUUUGAAUGAACAUAAUGUAAUUUUUUGUAAACAUAAUAAAUAAACAAUAAAUCAAUUAGAUAUUUUUUUUAAAAAUAAUUUAAUAUAAUAAAAUCAUUAUCUGAUUUAAAAAAUGAAAUAUUCAUGUUAGCUAAUGAUGGUGGGGAUGGGUUGUAGUGAUGGUGGUAACGGUCUGUGGUGGUUGUGAUGUUGGCGAUAAUAUGUUCACUAAAUAUUUAUGUACGCUUUUGUUCUAGUCCUUUAGUGACUAGGAAUGGUGGUGGUGAUAGUUAUUAUGGUGGAGGUGGUUGGUGUUGUAGUGACUGUCGUGAUGGUGGUGAUUGGUAGUGGUGGUUGUGAUGGUGAAGUUGGCGGUGCUGAUGAUGGCGGCUAAAGAAUGUUUUGGUGGUAGUUAACGGCGGUGCUAGUUGUUAUGGUUGAUUAUAAGGAUUGACCAUAGUGAUGGUAGUGGCUGUUAGUUGUGGUGGAGUUAGCGGCAACAAUGGCAGCGGUGGUGGUGGUUGUGGUAGUUGGUGGGUGUGCUAGUUGUGAUGGUGGAGUUGGUUGGUAGUAGGAGUUAGUCGCAAUGGUGGUAGUGGUGGUGGAGGAGAUGACAGUGGUGGUGGGAUAUAUAUAAUUAUAGUAAUGGAGGUGAUAGGUGUGGUAGUGGCUGGCAAUAGUGGUGAUGGUGAUGACAGAGGUGGUUGGUAGUUGAUGACGAUAAUGGUAGUUUACAAUGGUGGUGGUGGUUGUGAUGGCAAAGGCGGUUAGUGAUAGUGAAGACUUUGUUCAAGAUCUCAAUGAUUAAGACCUAUACAAACCAAUUAGGUGCUUAAAUCUUAAUGAAAACAAAUACACUUUAUGGCCUAAUGUCUGAACCAUUUACAUUCAGACCUCCACCAAGUACAAACGAAUGAGGCUUAGUUGUAGUGAAACCUGUGGAGCUGAAUCUACUCCUAAGGUGAUAGAAUUUUGUGUUUCCUUUAGCAAUGCAUUGUAAUCUCUCAGCUUCUGUGCUUCUGUGCAUUUUAAGAGCUGUCUCUUAAUAUCAUGAGCCUCUGCAAUGUCCUUCUUGUCAACUUUUCGCCCUGAUUGUUUGUAAUGAUCUAUCGCUUUCUCUGCAUCUCCCAGCCUGUCGAAAUGAUAAAAAAAUUCGACUGCAUUAACCAAAUUUAGACAAAAUCAUCUAAAGAAAAAUAAUUGACGAUUCAAAAUGAUGAACCUGACGUAUAGUCUUGCAAGACGAUAAUGUGCAUUGUGAUACGAAGGGUAUAGCCGGAUGGCCUCUAUACAUGCAACAACUGCCUCAAUCACGUGGCCUAAACUCAUCAAAGCUGCAGCCUUGUUGCUAUAAUAACUAGCAUUUCUUGGAUCAAUUGCAAUUGCUUGAUUGUACAAAUCCAAUGCCUCCUCAAGUUUCCCCUGUCUGUACUGUUCAUUGCCUAAGGACUUUAGCACAUCAGGGUCCAGUUUAUUUGCAGAACUGCGAAACGAACUCCCUGGUUGAUGGCUUUUUACAGUACUACUAGUUUGCCUUGCUAUGUUCCCGAUCAAGAUUUUGCCUUUCUUCUGGAUAGCCUUUUUGUCACUUGAGGAAUUUUGGUUUCCCCGCAGCUUCAAGUUUCCCAAGUGGCUUAGUAGUAUAACAUUGCCUGUUGAACUAUGAUUCAACGUUCCAUUCGCCUUGGAUUUCCGAUGACUAAAGAUUGUCAUGCUCAAUUCACUUGAGGUGAAUGUUGGUUCUCUUCUAAGCUUUUGUGUGUAUGCCAAGUUCACAACUUGUGACACUUUGUUCUUACUAGAAAUCGAAUUCUUCAGACAAGAGCUGGUGUGACAUCUUCUUGAAUUCUUGACAACAUUGGUGUCACUGGACUUGGUUGUAAUGUUGAUUUUUGUGUUAGUAUUUCUUCUUGGAAAAAAAACACCUAUUAGACCACAACCUAAUCCAUUUAGUACUGAAUUAUCUGCAAUUUUUGACAUGGUUGAUUGACCACUUUUUCUAGUAUUUUCCAUUUCAAUAGUUUCUUAACAGAGGUUUUCAUGAAAAUAGAAGCUAAUUACUGAUCUCAAAUUCUCAACUGAUCACUGAAAAGAUAUAAAAUAGGAGAGACUAUAUAUAAUAUAUAGAAGAAGGGUCAACUGACAAAAAUCAAAUAUAUAAAAACAAAGAAAUCAAGAUAUUUCCUUAAUGAUAGGCCUGAUUUUUAUUAUUAUUGUUAUUUUUUUUUCUCCAUAUAAUAUGAGUGAAUAUAUUCUAUAGAGUGGGUGUAUUUUCUUUGAUAUUAUACGUGCUCGGAUUUUACAGAUAGGUAUUUUUAACAUGAUGUGAUAUUAUUUAUUUCGAGCUAAGGGCACAUAUGUUUGGUUUCUCAAAAGCCACACUAUUGAGAGUAUUGAUAGUAUUCAUGAGUAUGCGUACUGCAGGGUCCAUUCAGGGGUGACACUCUUAACAUGAUUUUCUCCCUAUCCAGAGCUUGAACUCGAGACCUUUGAUUAAGGGUGGAGUAGUCCCACCACUGUACCACAACCUAUGUUGGUUCAACAUGUAUUACUAUUUGUUGUUGCACUUGUUUUGUAUUUUACUGAUUUAUUUUUCUUACAAUCCUGCAUUUGUUACAUUGGGUAUAGACAUAAUUUUAGAACAUAUGGCUCUUUAUUAAGCUUUUCAAAUUGAAUUUCAUAAAACUAGGCCUGCAUGUUUGUUUGUAGGAAAUGCUUUUCUUCUGCAUGGUCUGCCGUCUUGUCUCAUCAAGCCAACUACAAAAAAUUCAUUAUUUUGCGAUAAAAUAAGGAAAAGAUAAUUCUAAUAUGCAAUUUACAUUAGUUGAAUGACCAUAUGAGCAAUCGACUCUUACUUUUAAGGUUGUACUUAAGUACAUAGUCU
This 11565-nucleotide long non-coding RNA is filed under the name Solanum tuberosum (potato). RNAcentral describes it as "long non-coding RNA (STUB_LNC011839)". Lineage: Eukaryota; Viridiplantae; Streptophyta; Magnoliopsida; Solanales; Solanaceae. The record is from RNAcentral.